This 440-nucleotide ribosomal RNA is filed under the name uncultured bacterium. RNAcentral's name for it is "bacterial SSU rRNA". It matches the Rfam family "Bacterial small subunit ribosomal RNA", at positions 338 to 770 of the family's 1533-position model. The record is from RNAcentral.
CCUACGGGGGGCUGCAGUAGGGAAUCUUCGGCAAUGGACGAAAGUCUGACCGAGCAACGCCGCGUGAGUGAAGAAGGUUUUCGGAUCGUAAAACUCUGUUGUUAGAGAAGAACAAGGAUGAGAGUAAAAAGUUCAUCCCUUGACGGUAUCUAACCAGAAAGCCACGGCUAACUACGUGCCAGCAGCCGCGGUAAUACGUAGGUGGCAAGCGUUGUCCGGAUUUAUUGGGCGUAAAGCGAGCGCAGGCGGUUUCUUAAGUCUGAUGUGAAAGCCCCCGGCUCAACCAUUGUGUGCAUUGGAAACUGUUAGACUUGAGUGCAGUAGAGGAGAGUGGAAUUCCAUGUGUAGCGGUGAAAUGCGUAGAUAUAUGGAGGAACACCGGUGGCGAAAGCGGCUCUCUGGACUGUAACUGACACUGAGGCUCGAAAGCGUGGGUAGCA